Molecule: ribosomal RNA, 433 nt
Filed under: uncultured bacterium
Lineage: Bacteria
Description: partial 16S ribosomal RNA
Rfam family: Bacterial small subunit ribosomal RNA
Source: RNAcentral
AACGAACGCUGGCGGCAUGCCUAACACAUGCAAGUCGAACGAAGGCUUCGGCCUUAGUGGCGCACGGGUGCGUAACGCGUGGGAAUCUGCCCUUGGGUUCGGAAUAACAGCGGGAAACUGCUGCUAAUACCGGAUGAUGACGUAAGUCCAAAGAUUUAUCGCCCAAGGAUGAGCCCGCGUAGGAUUAGCUAGUUGGUGGGGUAAAGGCCCACCAAGGCGACGAUCCUUAGCUGGUCUGAGAGGAUGAUCAGCCACACUGGGACUGAGACACGGCCCAGACUCCUACGGGAGGCAGCAGUGGGGAAUAUUGGACAAUGGGCGAAAGCCUGAUCCAGCACUGCCGCGUGAGUGAUGAAGGCCUUAGGGUUGUAAAGCUCUUUUACCCGGGAUGAUAAUGACAGUACCGGGAGAAUAAGCUCCGGCUAACUCCGUG